GUAUGCACUGGCUUCGCUGAUUCCUCCUUUCUGAAGAACUGUAAUGCCAUUAAUUUGGUGUUGCAGGGAAACAGGACUGUUACUUUGAAAAAAUUAGAGUGUUUAAAGCAGGCUAACGCUUGAAUACAUUAGCAUGGAAUAAUGAAAUAGGACGUUUGAUCCUAUUUUGUUGGUUUCUAGGAUUGACGUAAUGAUUAAUAGGGAUAGUUGGGGGCAUUAGUAUUCAAUUGUCAGAGGUGAAAUUCUUGGAUUUAUUGAAGACUGACUACUGCGAAAGCAUUUGCCAAGGAUGUUUUCAUUAAUCAAGAACGAAAGUUAGGGGAUCGAAGACGAUCAGAUACCGUCGUAGUCUUAACCAUAAACUAUGCCGACUAGGGAUCGGAUGAUGUUAAUUUUUUAAUGACUCAUUCGG
This 412-nucleotide ribosomal RNA is filed under the name uncultured Glomeromycotina. RNAcentral's name for it is "SSU rRNA". It matches the Rfam family "Eukaryotic small subunit ribosomal RNA", at positions 673 to 1083 of the family's 1831-position model. Lineage: Eukaryota; Fungi; Glomeromycota. The record is from RNAcentral.